UGUCUAUAUCAUAUUGAAACACCGGUUAUCAAACAAUCAUGAAAGUUAAGCAAUGCCGAGCCUGAUCAGUACCUCGGUGAGUGACCACCAGGGAAUACCAGGUGCUGUAAG
This is a non-coding RNA of Acanthosepion pharaonis, 111 nucleotides long. The record is from the annotation of a GenBank genome assembly. Lineage: Eukaryota; Metazoa; Mollusca; Cephalopoda; Sepiida; Sepiidae.